UGGGAUGAUUCCUGCAGCAUCUCGUACCCAUUUAUCUGCUACAACGGCACACAGGAGAAUCCUGAAUAUGUUCUGGUCAAUGAACCCAGAUCCUGGUCCGAUGCUCAGAAGUACUGCAGGCAGAACUUCAGAGACCUGGCUACCAUCAGGAACCACACAGAAAACCAGAGAGCUCAAAGUUUGCUUCCUAGUCCGGCCUUUGUAUGGAUUGGUCUGUUUAGAGAUCCAAACUUUCACUGGUCUGAUGGGAGCAGAUUUGUCUACAGAAACUGGGCAGACGUUUUCAACGUAAUAGGCUCCAACAGAAUCAUUUGUGGAGUCACAUGGAGUCCAGGGCAAUGGAGGUUUCGCUCAUGUGAAACAAAAAGGUCAUUUGUUUGCCACAGCCUCCCAGGCAAGUGUUUAAAUGGUAUUUACUUAUUGAUGUGCAUGUAGGACAACAUGAGCUGCAGUUUUAAGUGUAGCUUCAUUUUUCUUGUUUAAAACGUAGAAAUGAAACGGCUUGUGAAGCUGAGACUGAAGACUGAGGACUCUGUCAAUCUGAACGAUCCGCUUGUGAUGGUAAACAUCCUGAAGAAGCUGCAGGACAGACUGAAUGAGAAUGGAACGAGUGGAACCACCUUGAAAUGGAGAGAGCAGCCUGACGGAGACGUCUUUAAGAAGAAGAAGGCCGAACUCUGAGUUAUUAAUCUCAACUUAGUACGAUAUAAAUCUGGUUAUAUCUCUGGUCACUGGCAGUUCAAAUGUAAUCAUACAGCCUCAAUCUGUAAUGUGUGUUUUUUUAUGAUUUUGUAAUAAUGAAAAAUUAGCUUUAGAAUUUAAUUUUUUUAAAUUUUAUUUUUUAUAUAUAUUUUGGAUCACAGUCUUGACUUUAAUCUGAUGUAGAAUUUAUAGAAGUAGGUAAAG
This is a long non-coding RNA of Xiphophorus couchianus (Monterrey platyfish), 906 nucleotides long. RefSeq lists it as uncharacterized. Lineage: Eukaryota; Metazoa; Chordata; Actinopteri; Cyprinodontiformes; Poeciliidae. The record is from RefSeq and is a predicted model, not a curated record. The transcript has 3 exons.